Molecule: ribosomal RNA, 492 nt
Filed under: uncultured bacterium
Lineage: Bacteria
Description: partial 16S ribosomal RNA
Rfam family: Bacterial small subunit ribosomal RNA
Source: RNAcentral
AGUGAACGCUGGCGGUAGGCCUAACACAUGCAAGUCGAACGGCAGCACAGUAAGAGCUUGCUCUUACGGGUGGCGAGUGGCGGACGGGUGAGGUAUACAUCGGAAUCUACUUUUUCGUGGGGGAUAACGUAGGGAAACUUACGCUAAUACCGCAUACGACCUACGGGUGAAAGCAGGGGAUCUUCGGACCUUGCGCGAUUGAAUGAGCCGAUGUCGGAUUAGCUAGUUGGCGGGGUAAAGGCCCACCAAGGCGACGAUCCGUAGCUGGUCUGAGAGGAUGAUCAGCCACACUGGAACUGAGACACGGUCCAGACUCCUACGGGAGGCAGCAGUGGGGAAUAUUGGACAAUGGGCGCAAGCCUGAUCCAGCCAUGCCGCGUGGGUGAAGAAGGCCUUCGGGUUGUAAAGCCCUUUUGUUGGGAAAGAAAAGCAGCAGGUUAAUACCCCGCUGUUCUGACGGUACCCAAAGAAUAAGCACCGGCUAACUUCGUG